AGGUGGGAGAAUCGCUUGAACCUGGGAGGUGGAGGUUGCAGUGAGCUGAGAUCACGCCACUGCACUCCAGCCUGGG
Cercocebus atys (sooty mangabey) is the source of this 76-nucleotide microRNA precursor. The record is from Ensembl. Lineage: Eukaryota; Metazoa; Chordata; Mammalia; Primates; Cercopithecidae.